Molecule: long non-coding RNA, 475 nt
Organism: Microtus oregoni (creeping vole)
Lineage: Eukaryota; Metazoa; Chordata; Mammalia; Rodentia; Cricetidae
Exons: 3
Source: RefSeq, a predicted model, not a curated record
UUUUAGAGGACUCACCCAGGUUGUAGAAGGAGGAGACCCUGACCAGCUUCAGAGAAGACCCGAGACCUGACCCGAGACCUGUCCCGAGGCUGCAAGCUGUGCAGUUUCAGCUGUGCUGUUCCCUGAGUUGCUGCCUGAGCUGAUGUGGGCUCUGCAGGGAGGCAGCUGCUGUGAAUCCAUCCCAGCUCCUUUCUAGGAAAUGGCCCGGUGUGGAGUUCAUGGCAGUGUCUAAUUGGAGAAGCACCUUGACUGGACAGGAGCCAGUCUGGCCCAUCUGGAUCAGGGAAAAUACACUUCAUGCCAUGUGCCCCUGGCAUGGUCCUGGGGCCUGGGAGAGAGCAGCCUGUGGUCCUGGGCUAUCAGAAGACCCAUCAGGCCUCAAGCAGACACGAUGAGCGUUGGCCCCGAGGUGGCAAAAGAGAGGGCCAAGAGAUACAGAAAUCGUGGCGGGGGAAGGAGGCUUGCAAAAGGCGCC